This 262-nucleotide long non-coding RNA is filed under the name Manihot esculenta (cassava). RNAcentral's name for it is "long non-coding RNA (MESC_LNC003009)". The record is from RNAcentral. Lineage: Eukaryota; Viridiplantae; Streptophyta; Magnoliopsida; Malpighiales; Euphorbiaceae.
ACCCUUUUAUAGGUGGCUGGCCAGGCCACUUUCGGGGGCCUAACGUGCCUCCGCAUGCAUGCCAUGUUCGGCGGCCGAACAUAAGGUUCGGCGGCCGAACCUGGACUUCCGUCACUUAUGCCUUCGGGGGCCUAAAGCACUCCCGAAGUGCAUGCAUGUUCGGCGGCCGAACCUGAGUCUUCCUCUCAAGACUAUUUUCAUUCAAAACUUAAUUUCUUUCUUGCUUAAAACCAUAAAAUACAUUAAAACAUUUUAUGAAAAC